GAUGAACGCUGGCGGCGUGCCUAACACAUGCAAGUCGAACGGAGUCCAGCCUUUAAGACCUUCGGGUCAAAGAGGGGAAGACUGAGUGGCGGACGGGUGAGUAACACGUGGGCAACCUGGCUCAUAGAGGGGGAUAACAGAGAGAAAUUUCUGCUAAUACCGCAUAAGCACACACUGCCGCAUGGCAGAGGGUGAAAAGAGAAUCGCUAUGAGAUGGACCCGCGUCUGAUUAGCCAGUUGGCAGGGUAAGAGCCUACCAAAGCGACGAUCAGUAGCCGAUCUGAGAGGAUGAACCGCCACACUGGGACUGAGACACGGCCCAAACUCCUACGGGAGGCAACAGUGGGUGAUAUUGCACAAUGGGGGGAACCCUGAUGCAGCGACGCCGCGUGAGUGAAGAAGUAUUUCGGUAUGUAAAGCUCUAUCAGCAGGGAAGAUAAUGACAGUACCUGAAGAAGAAGCCCCGGCUAACUACGUG
This 478-nucleotide ribosomal RNA is filed under the name uncultured bacterium. RNAcentral's name for it is "partial 16S ribosomal RNA". It matches the Rfam family "Bacterial small subunit ribosomal RNA", at positions 28 to 507 of the family's 1533-position model. The record is from RNAcentral.